CGGGUGGCAGCAGUGGGGAAUAUUGGACAAUGGGCGAAAGCCUGAUCCAGCCAUGCCGCGUGUGUGAAGAAGGUCUUCGGAUUGUAAAGCACUUUAAGUUGGGAGGAAGGGCAGUAAGCGAAUACCUUGCUGUUUUGACGUUACCGACAGAAUAAGCACCGGCUAACUCUGUGCCAGCAGCCGCGGUAAUACAGAGGGUGCAAGCGUUAAUCGGAAUUACUGGGCGUAAAGCGCGCGUAGGUGGUUUGUUAAGUUGAAUGUGAAAUCCCCGGGCUCAACCUGGGAACUGCAUCCAAAACUGGCAAGCUAGAGUAGGGCAGAGGGUGGUGGAAUUUCCUGUGUAGCGGUGAAAUGCGUAGAUAUAGGAAGGAACACCAGUGGCGAAGGCGACCACCUGGGCUCAUACUGACACUGAGGUGCGAAAGCGUGGGGAGCAAACAGGAUUAGAUACCCGAGU
This 457-nucleotide ribosomal RNA is filed under the name uncultured Pseudomonas sp. RNAcentral's name for it is "bacterial SSU rRNA". It matches the Rfam family "Bacterial small subunit ribosomal RNA", at positions 342 to 791 of the family's 1533-position model. The record is from RNAcentral. Lineage: Bacteria; Pseudomonadati; Pseudomonadota; Gammaproteobacteria; Pseudomonadales; Pseudomonadaceae.